Molecule: long non-coding RNA, 707 nt
Organism: Ictalurus punctatus (channel catfish)
Lineage: Eukaryota; Metazoa; Chordata; Actinopteri; Siluriformes; Ictaluridae
Source: Ensembl
GGAGUUGCACAUUGCCGUGGACUCACUCACAUGUGCACACUUUAAAACUUGACUGCACUGUCUCUUUUAAUACACAUCUAUGCCUGGUGAGCUUUAAUAGUCAGCAUUUUUCUAGGAACACACCUAAAACUCUGUGGAUAAAGCUAUGGCUCUACUCUUAUAUCGUUUUAUUGUCCUCUGUAUGUCUGUAUCGCUUGUUGCAGGUGAUGGUGCUAAACCAACACAGACGCCAGACAACGGGCUCACAAUGUUAGCCUUUGGUGUGAUGAGCUUCAUUCUCAUUUUGAUCAUUGUUAUGGUGAUCUUGGUAACAGCUGUUAACUUCAGAGGACAGUGCGCUAAUACAAAGGAAGAGGGUGUCAAAAACUACGUCUCUGUGAUAUCAGAAGGUCAUAUAAGCAACAUGGGAGAGAAGGAAAGCAUCAUGCUUGUCUCCAUGAGGACAAUAAACACAGACACUGACACAGAUUCACUGCGGAUCUCCUCCAUUUACAGUGCAGCACUGGACAACGAAGACCAAUAGCUCAGAAUCAGAGUAGGACUGAUUCAAUUCACUGAACAAAGCUGCCUUUUCAAGCUACUUUUCAGCAAUAACAGACCACAGUAUUAUUAAAAUGACACAGUUCUACAUUGUUGUACAAUUUGUCUCACAUUUGCAAUUUUUUUAUGCAAAAUUAAAUGAGCACAAAGAAUAAGCUAAUGAACGG